GGGGCCGUAACGGUUUCGACAGGUUAGCGAAAGCUCCCCCGUGAUACAGGUCGAGAGUGAGUCUCCUCUCGUAAAUCAAAGGCUCAAACAAAAAGUAAAUGCGAACAACAUCGUUCCUUUCGCUCGUAAAGCCGCUCCUGUAGCUGCCUAAUAGUCUCUAAUCGACUCGAGCAUUCAUGGUUUGACUCCGUUAAGGACUAUGGAUAAACCCCCAACGGAUGCCACGUUUAACUUUCUCUAGUUAGUUAACCGUCUAAGCUUUAACUAGAGCAUCCCACUGUCCGGGAUAAGUGACAGUCCCCGUUUCGAGGGUAAUCGAAACUAAACCUGUGAAUGAACGGACAGUCAAUACCUAAUUUGGACAGCAGUUCGACUCUGCUCGGCUCCAUUG
Molecule: non-coding RNA, 391 nt
Organism: Microcystis aeruginosa NIES-843
Lineage: Bacteria; Bacillati; Cyanobacteriota; Cyanophyceae; Chroococcales; Microcystaceae
Source: Rfam